UCCCUGGGAAAAUCCUCGUGAAACCCGCUCUUACGCCAUUUUCCGGCUUUUUGUGUGCUGAAGAUAUUACCGUGUGUACGGGUAUCAUUCCAACUCUGUGAAUUUUGCAUAGACUUUUGUCCAGCUUUAAUCACAGUAACAAAGAUGGCCGUCCCACCAGUUUACGCAGAUUUGGGCAAGUCAGCCAGAGAUAUCUUUGGAAAGGGCUUUGGAUUUGGUUUCGUGAAGCUAGAUGCCAAGACCACCACCCAGUCAGGCGUGGACUUCAAUGUUGUUGGAACAUCAAAUAACGACACCGGUAAAGUAGAUGGUAGCCUGGAGACAAAAUACAGCUGGAAGGACUAUGGUAA
Asterias rubens (European starfish) is the source of this 350-nucleotide long non-coding RNA. RefSeq lists it as uncharacterized. The transcript has 4 exons. The record is from RefSeq and is a predicted model, not a curated record. Lineage: Eukaryota; Metazoa; Echinodermata; Asteroidea; Forcipulatida; Asteriidae.